RNAcentral lists this long non-coding RNA (1795 nucleotides) under Homo sapiens (human). Its description in RNAcentral is "HSALNT0356105". Lineage: Eukaryota; Metazoa; Chordata; Mammalia; Primates; Hominidae. The record is from RNAcentral.
GCGGAAGGCAAAUCCACCCGGCAGGAACGGCUGCCUCUGCAGAUCCAUGCGGCGAUAGAACAGGGCGGAGGGGGUUGGAUUUGCUGAGCCAUCCGGGAUUGAACAACGAACUCGCCACAGCCGUGCUGGUCAGGGAAACGGCGGGGAUCGUGGGCACGGUCCCUCUGGUUUUCAGACCUGGAGAAAAGAUCCGAAGCAAUUUUAAAUUAAGACUAUAUUCCCAGACCUGUCAACACUAUAGUAUGAAUCACGGAACUGAGUACUUUCAUUAUUACUCACCAAACUUGCAAGUGUGUCUGCUGACAUCUCCGUGCUCAAUCUGCUGGACUAUUGAUGUGAGCACUGCUGUGCUCCAGAGGAGUUCUUAGCAUGUCCCAGUGAUGUUCAAAAUGUAACCCGAUUGCAAGGGUUCAUGAGGAAACCAAGGAUUGCCCGGCCAGGCUCAAGUCUUCCUCAUCCUUCUUCCUUCUGCCAUCUUUUGAGAAUGGUCACCGUAAGUGGCAUGAUUUGGUAACCGGAGGUCCUGAGCACAAAGGUUCUCAAACCUGAACAGAUAUCGGAACCACCCACCUGGAGGGCUGGGCACACUGAUUGUUUCCCGAGUUUCUAACUGAGAAACUACUUCAAGAUAAGCUCCACCAAAAAUAGAGAGGAAAUCAAGAAGAUUAAGACGCAGGAUCCAGCGCAACGCUCCAGCACAGGAGAGACCAAAAGAACGUUUGACAAUCCACUGACUUCCUAGAAAACAGAAGAGUGGGCUGGGCAUGGUGGCUCACGCCUGUAAUCCCAGCACUCUGGGAGGCUGAGGUGGGUGGAUUACCUGAGAUCAGGAAUUCGGGACCAGCCUGGAGAAACCCCGUCUCUAAAAAUACAAAAAUUAGCCGAACGUGAUGGCGCACGCCUUGUAGUCCCAGCUACUCAAGAGACUGAGGCAGGAGAAUGGCGUGAACCCGGGAAGCAGAGGUUGUAGUCAGCCAAGAUCGCGCCACUGCACUCCAGCGUGGGAGACAGAGCGAGAGUCCGUCUCAAAAAAAAGAAAAAAAAAAAAAAAGAAACAAAGUUUAGCUUUCCCAUGCCCCCACCCCCCGCACCGUUGCCCGCCGCCCCCCCCCCCCCCCCCCGCCCCAUUCAUUCUUUCAAGCUGGGCCCAGGGCAACAUUAAAAAACAAACCUGUAAUCAGUAUUUAUAUGAUAUGGCAUUUUGUGUAUUCAUCUCAGCUGAGUCAGUUGUAUAUCAUGGUUAAUUACCAUUAUUUUACAACUUUGGAAAGCCCCUCAUCUUCCCGCUCCCGGAUGGACCACGAGUUCUCCAGGCCCCUGUAUGGCUAUGGACCAAGACUUCUUUCAUGAUGACCUUGGGAACUGCUUUCGUCUCUCCUACUUUGGGUUCCCUAUUUCCCCGAGUCAAUGCCAUCUUUUUCUGGGUUUACUCCUUCAGUUGUAGCGAGUUAAAGACUGAAUGGAGAUGAGGGAGGUGGAAAGUAAGUACAGCCUCUUCUUCCGAGACAUCUGCUUAGGAAGAGAGGGAAGGAGCCUCAUGAGGAUGUAUUUAGAAGUAUGGAGGCAGAGACCAGCAGCAGGCCAGCUAAAAAGUUAAAAGUAGUUCCCGCGGGGGAGGUGUGCAGCUGGGGACUGUUGUUUCUCAAUUAUGGGGCUGUGGUGCCAAUAAACCUCGCAUGAGUAGCAACUCAGCAGGCCCAGGAUACGUGUUGGAAGGGGAAUGAGGGAAGGGGCAAUUCUCCAGGCAGCAGGGAGAGCGUGAGCAGAAGUCACUGCCAACACUCCCACCACAGGA